UUGUCCCGGUUUAAGCGUGUAGGCUGGUUUUCCAGGCAAAUCCGGAAAAUCAAGGCUGAGGCGUGAUGACGAGGCACUACGGUGCUGAAGCAACAAAUGCCCUGCUUCCAGGAAAAGCCUCUAAGCAUCAGGUAACAUCAAAUCGUACCCCAAACCGACACAGGUGGUCAGGUAGAGAAUACCAAGGCGCUUGAGAGAACUCGGGUGAAGGAACUAGGCAAAAUGGUGCCGUAACUUCGGGAGAAGGCACGCUGAUAUGUAGGUGAAGUCCCUCGCGGAUGGAGCUGAAAUCAGUCGAAGAUACCAGCUGGCUGCAACUGUUUAUUAAAAACACAGCACUGUGCAAACACGAAAGUGGACGUAUACGGUGUGACGCCUGCCCGGUGCCGGAAGGUUAAUUGAUGGGGUCAGCGCAAGCGAAGCUCUUGAUCGAAGCCCCGGUAAACGGCGGCCGUAACUAUAACGGUCCUAAGGUAGCGAAAUUCCUUGUCGGGUAAGUUCCGACCUGCACGAAUGGCGUAAUGAUGGCCAGGCUGUCUCCACCCGAGACUCAGUGAAAUUGAACUCGCUGUGAAGAUGCAGUGUACCCGCGGCAAGACGGAAAGACCCCGUGAACCUUUACUAUAGCUUGACACUGAACAUUGAGCCUUGAUGUGUAGGAUAGGUGGGAGGCUUUGAAGUGUGGACGCCAGUCUGCAUGGAGCCGACCUUGAAAUACCACCCUUUAAUGUUUGAUGUUCUAACGUGGACCCGUGAUCCGGGUUGCGGACAGUGUCUGGUGGGUAGUUUGACUGGGGCGGUCUCCUCCUAAAGAGUAACGGAGGAGCACGAAGGUUGGCUAAUCCUGGUCGGACAUCAGGAGGUUAGUGCAAUGGCAUAAGCCAGCUUGACUGCGAGCGUGACGGCGCGAGCAGGUGCGAAAGCAGGUCAUAGUGAUCCGGUGGUUCUGAAUGGAAGGGCCAUCGCUCAACGGAUAAAAGGUACUCCGGGGAUAACAGGCUGAUACCGCCCAAGAGUUCAUAUCGACGGCGGUGUUUGGCACCUCGAUGUCGGCUCAUCACAUCCUGGGGCUGAAGUAGGUCCCAAGGGUAUGGCUGUUCGCCAUUUAAAGUGGUACGCGAGCUGGGUUUAGAACGUCGUGAGACAGUUCGGUCCCUAUCUGCCGUGGGCGCUGGAGAACUGAGGGGGGCUGCUCCUAGUACGAGAGGACCGGAGUGGACGCAUCACUGGUGUUCGGGUUGUCAUGCCAAUGGCACUGCCCGGUAGCUAAAUGCGGAAGAGAUAAGUGCUGAAAGCAUCUAAGCACGAAACUUGCCCCGAGAUGAGUUCUCCCUGACCCUUUAAGGGUCCUGAAGGAACGUUGAAGACGACGACGUUGAUAGGCCGGGUGUGUAAGCGCAGCGAUGCGUUGAGCUAACCGGUACUAAUGAACCGUGAGGCUUAACCUU
RNAcentral lists this ribosomal RNA (1448 nucleotides) under Escherichia coli. Its description in RNAcentral is "partial 23S ribosomal RNA". It matches the Rfam family "Bacterial large subunit ribosomal RNA", at positions 1502 to 2925 of the family's 2925-position model. Lineage: Bacteria; Pseudomonadati; Pseudomonadota; Gammaproteobacteria; Enterobacterales; Enterobacteriaceae. The record is from RNAcentral.